CAAAUUACAAUGAGCUACAAGGACUGGUUCCAGGUUGAAUCCAUGUCCUGCUCCCCAGGUUUUACACAUUGGUUUUCUUCUGGAAUGGAAAAUCGGGAUUGAAGUAAGGCAUAGGAGUUGGUAAAAUUCCUCUUUAACCAAAUAUGUUACUGAACGUGGAUAUUUUCUGCUCAUUAGUUUGCUUCUAGUCAUAGUUUUCCAGGAAUCUUUAAAUAAUCUUGAUGAGAGAAUGAAUUGUCUGCAACUGUUUUGUCCGUCUUUGAAGGUUUCUUUUAGUCAUUAAUGACUAAACUGUUCUGUCUCACCUUAAAGGGUUUUUUUUUUUUUUUUAACUUAUUUUCCCUCGAGUUUCAGAGUUUGUUUCUGAGCUACUCUGUUUUUUUCCUCUGUAUCUGUCGACAAACCCAUCCUUGUACUCUCUCUCUGCCUCUCUCUCCUUUUUUUUCAGCAACAAGCCGCUGAGCAGAGCUUCCCUUCCUUUUGACCGAAAGCUAGCUCAAGAGAAGAGGAAGUCCAACCACACAAAUAUACAUCAUAACAAUCUACUAACUUGGCGUUGUGGGACAAAUACAACUUCUAACAAAUAAGACUCAGACUAGUGUUGAAUAUUCUGGUUUGUUUAUUGGUUUUUUUCAAUCUGGAAGUAAAUGUAACAAAUGAAUGUUAUAAAUUUUUUUUCUGUCGGAGGAACUGAUAGCAUGGGAAAGUUUAUUUGUUCUGUAACCGAAAGAACAGUAUUCACAUCUUACAGUAAAAGAACACACACAAAAAAUUACGGUGAAGUACUAGGGCUGUUUCCUGGUUAAAUACAUGUCCGUCUUUCCAUGUUUUAAAUGUCACUUUUUCAUCUACCUCAUUAGUAGCUUUUUACAGAUCUAUAUAAGCUGCCUUAAUUUUAAUUUCAUUACAAACAAAUUCUAGCCAACACUAGGUUGAAGAGCUUUGAUUCUUAUAGGAAGAUUAAAGUGACAUGUGUUGUAUUCAAAAUCUUAGCAAGAAUUUGGAAAUCGACGAUUUGAUCAAAUCACUCUACUUUUAUAUUGUUUAGACUAAUACCGUUUCAUUUGUAACUUGCUGCAGGGGAUGGGCAGUCAGAAUUGAAUAAGCUUGUCAUAGGGGUUGGUAAUAUACCUCUUCAACCAAAUAUCUUAUUAAAUAUAUUUUUGGCUUAUUAUUCUUUUCUUCUACUCCUGGUUUACCAGGAAGCCUGAAAUCAUAUAGAGAAUCAAUUUUGAGAGGCACUCACUGUAUAUAACUAAAAUAGUGUAGAAUUUAUACGAGGCAGAUAACAAAAUUGUGCAAAAGCUUCAAUUAACAUAUUUGAA
Long non-coding RNA from Pistacia vera, 1325 nucleotides. RefSeq lists it as uncharacterized. The transcript is spliced from 2 exons. NCBI's taxonomy places the organism in Eukaryota, Viridiplantae, Streptophyta, Magnoliopsida, Sapindales, Anacardiaceae. The record is from RefSeq and is a predicted model, not a curated record.